CAGCAGCCGCGGUAAUACGAAGGGUGCAAGCGUUAAUCGGAAUUACUGGGCGUAAAGCGUGCGUAGGCGGUUUGUUAAGUCUGUUGUGAAAUCCCCGGGCUAAACCUGGGAAUGGCAAUGGAUACUGGCAAGCUAGAGUGUGUCAGAGGAUGGUGGAAUUCCCGGUGUAGCGGUGAAAUGCGUAGAGAUCGGGAGGAACAUCAGUGGCGAAGGCGGCCAUCUGGGACAACACUGACGCUGAGGCACGAAAGCGUGGGGAGCAAACAGGAUUAGAUACCCCAGUAGUCCCUGUCUCUUAUAC
RNAcentral lists this ribosomal RNA (301 nucleotides) under uncultured bacterium. Its description in RNAcentral is "partial 16S ribosomal RNA". It matches the Rfam family "Bacterial small subunit ribosomal RNA", at positions 509 to 807 of the family's 1533-position model. The record is from RNAcentral.